Molecule: non-coding RNA, 2677 nt
Organism: Phalacrocorax carbo (great cormorant)
Lineage: Eukaryota; Metazoa; Chordata; Aves; Suliformes; Phalacrocoracidae
Source: RefSeq, a predicted model, not a curated record
AACAUGAGGACAAACCCCUUCCCUGUGCGGGUGCCAGAGCAGGGGCACAGGCUGCCCAGAGAGGCUGUGGGGUCCCUUCCCUGGAGACAUUCACCCCCCGCCUGGACACGGCCCUGUGCCCCUGCUCUGGGGGUGCCUGCUCAUGCAGGGGGGUUGGGCAAGAUGAUCUCCAGCUGUCCCUUCCCACCCCUACCAUUCUGUGAUUCUAAUUGGGCUAACAAUCCUCUUACGCAAUCAGAAUGGGCAGAAAUCUGCUUUGUGUCAUUUUUGUUAUUCAUCGUAAAAGAUCUGCAAGUUCUGGAUGUAGAACUUCAGCAGUGCCUUUGACACAUUCUGUUGAAAACUCUUGGAGGACUAGGUAUCCAAUGGCAGUGAGCAACAGUUAAGAACAGAGUUUUUCAGGAUGCUUAGCUUCUCGUUGUCCCUGAAAUUAAGAAGUCUGUGGCAUAUUUGCAGCAAAUCUGUGACAGAGCUGACCUUUGUCCACAGAAACAGUCCAUAUUGCCAGCAGAGGUCCUCAAAAGGGAGGCUGAAUUUUGUGCCCAGUGCAUGUCCCAGGCAUAUUAUUGCAAGUAUAAUACUGCGCAUGUGAACAUGCUGGAGCCUUCUAGUUCAUACCUUACUUUUUAAAGCAUGUCUCGUUCCUAAAGCUGCUAUCCAAGCUGAGGCUGCUACCGCCCAGGCGGUGCUUGUAAAAGGGGAUGGCCAGAGAGAGAGGAGAGAGACAACGGAGGCGUCCCUGUGGCUGCAGCUGAUUGUCUCUCCCUGGGGUAUUUAUAAGCUGCAUACUGGUGGGCAGGGGUGGGCAGUUGGCUUGCUGUGACCUUGGGAACUGGGGAGCCUGAGCAGCAUUCCUGGGAGCCAUGUGAGCCGGACUGGCAGGCGCAGCUGCAGCCAAUGGGAGGAGACCAGCACUGGCUGCUCAGAUUGAGUUUCACUCCUGUUGCUUGAGAUUUUUUCCUCUUUCUCUCCCUGUUGUGCUUUUCGUCUUUGUUUAUGGGAUUGGACGGGCGGAUGUGCUGAUGGAGUCCUAGCAAGCAACAAACUUGCGUAGUGGAUUUGGGACUUCAGUGCUGAGCAACCACUUCUUGCAAUUGCCUACCACAAUUCCAGCCCCCUGACGUGACUGGGCUUUUAUGGCUCCAAGCCUUCUGAGUGCAAAACCCGCCCUCCUCUAUUAGGGCAUUUUAUGUUGUGUUCUCUUUUAUGCACUUCCUUUUAGCUCUCUUUAGAGGUUAGUGUAUGAGGCUUUUUAAUGCAUGAAAGAUGGGUCAGGACCAGACAAAGCAACAGAUAGAAAAAGGACUCCAUCUUUACCAGUCUAAUCAGACCGAAAAGGCCCUGCGAGUCUGGAUGAGGGUUUUGGAGAAGUCUGCGGAUCCUGCUGGCAGGUUUCGGGUGUUGGGUUGCCUUAUCACUGCUCAUGCAGAGAUGGGCAGAUACAAAGAUAUGCUGAAGUUUGCAGUGGUACAGAUUGACACAGCACGGGAGCUGGAAGACCCGGAUUACCUUACAGAGAGCUACCUGAACCUGGCUCGCAGCAAUGAGAAACUCUGUGAAUUCCAGAAAACAAUCUCUUACUGUAAGACGUGCCUGAACAUGCAGGGUACCACUGUGAGCCUACAGCUGAAUGGCCAGGUGAGCCUCAGCAUGGGCAAUGCCUUCUUAGGCCUCAGCAUUUUCCAGAAGGCUUUGGAAUGCUUUGAGAAAGCUUUACGCUACGCACACAACAAUGAUGACAAGAUGCUGGAGUGUCGAGUCUGCUGCAGCCUUGGGAACUUCUACGCCCAGAUAAAGGACUAUGAGAAAGCCUUGUUCUUCCCAUGUAAAGCAGCUGAGCUGGUGAAUGAUUAUGGAAAGGGCUGGAGCUUGAAGUACCGUGCAAUGAGCCAGUAUCACAUGGCAGUGGCCUAUCGGAAGCUGGGGCGCUUGGCAGAUGCCAUGGACUGCUGUGAGGAGUCCAUGAAGAUUGCCCUGCAGCAUGGUGACCGGCCUUUGCAAGCGCUGUGUCUGCUGUGCUUUGCAGAUAUCCAUCGCAGUCGCAAAGACAUGCAGACAGCCUUUCCUCGGUAUGAUUCCUCCAUGAGCAUCAUGACAGAGAUUGGAAACCGCCUGGGCCUGGUCCAGGUGCUGCUAGGAAUGACUAAGUGCUGGAUGAUCCAGAAGGAGCUGGACAAGGCACUGGAAAGCAUUGAAAAGGCACAGGAGCUGGCAGAGGGACUAGGGAACAAGCUUGGCCUGCUGAAGCUCCACUACCUUUGUGAAAGGAUCUAUCGCACAAAGGGGCAGCAGCAAGAAUUGCGUGACCAUGUAGUGAAGUUCCAUGAAUGCGUGGAGGAGAUGGAGCUGUACUGUGGCAUAUGUGGAGAGUCCAUUGGGGAGAAGAACAACCAGCUCCAGGCGUUGCCUUGCUCCCACUUCUUCCACUUGAAGUAAUGAGCUGAAAGUACUAAAGAUCUUUGUCAUGCUAUGAAGUCACAGGAAGGAACUGUUCAUGCCCAGAGUAGGACAGUCCUAUGCAUGCUGUUCCCCAGGUCUUUGUCCUGCUUACCUGUGCCCUGCGGGAUCCCAUUGCAGUGUCCUUGAAGGGUGCCUCCAGACCAACGGGACCCGGGGCUGCCCCAACUGCCGCCGCUUGUCGGUGAAGCCCGGCUACGUCUGACCGCGGCGGGGCCCG